Long non-coding RNA from Cannabis sativa, 696 nucleotides. RefSeq lists it as uncharacterized. The transcript is spliced from 4 exons. Lineage: Eukaryota; Viridiplantae; Streptophyta; Magnoliopsida; Rosales; Cannabaceae. The record is from RefSeq and is a predicted model, not a curated record.
UUAUGUCUAUUGAAUGCAGUCAGUGUAAGCGAAAUUGAAGCGCUUUAUGAACUUUUUAAGAAGAUCGCCAGUUCUUUGUGAUCGAUGAUGGAUUAAUUAACAAGGAAGAGUUUCAACUGGCUUUGUUCAAGACAAAUAAGAAAGAGAGCUUAUUCGCUGAUCGGGUAUUAUUAUAUCUGUGACAUCAAUUUUAGUAUUUUCAUAAGCUGUGUGCUAUAUAAUCUCUUAAAUUUCAGUGCAAGGACAUAUGUACAACUCGACGAUGGUACAGAGUUGCUAGAUGCUGUGAUGUUCGGUGAUGUUGCAGAAAACAUAUUCUCAUGUACUGCAGUUCAAUUAAGAUCAUAUUCGGACGAGAAACAUAAGUUGUUUGUCCAAAAAACUACGAAGCAAUUAUCAGCCAAAAAAUGGAGAAUUCAGUUGUACGUAGAUGCAAACCGAACAAUGACUUCAAAGUACAAUCAGUUCACCAUUCAAGCAGUUGAACCAAUGGAAGAUUAGGAAGAAGUUACCUUUUUUUUUUUUUUUUGUUACAGUAAUUUUAUUUUAUUUAGUGUUGAGACUUUUCUUGCUGCUGAGCUUGUUUUUCUUUCUCUUGACUUGUUAUUUAUGGAUUUACAUGGAGUAGUGUAUGCAAGUAUUUCAUAUACCCAAUUUUCUAAAAGUAAAUAAUAAGUAUUAUUUUAUUAUGAUUUA